This 274-nucleotide ribosomal RNA is filed under the name uncultured bacterium. Its description in RNAcentral is "partial 16S ribosomal RNA". It matches the Rfam family "Bacterial small subunit ribosomal RNA", at positions 523 to 796 of the family's 1533-position model. The record is from RNAcentral.
AGACAGAGGGUGCGAACGUUGUUCGGAAUUACUGGGCGUAAAGCGCGUGUAGGCGGCUAUGCAAGUCGGGUGAGAAAGCCCUGGGCUUAACCGAGGAAGUGCACUCGAAACUGCAUAGCUCGAGUCCCGGAGAGGAUGGUGGAAUUCUCGGUGUAGAGGUGAAAUUCGUAGAUAUCGAGAGGAACACCGGUGGCGAAGGCGGCCAUCUGGACGGGUACUGACGCUGAGACGCGAAAGCGUGGGUAGCAAACGGGAUUAGAAACCCCGGUAGCCC